This 340-nucleotide ribosomal RNA is filed under the name uncultured bacterium. RNAcentral describes it as "bacterial SSU rRNA". It matches the Rfam family "Bacterial small subunit ribosomal RNA", at positions 28 to 334 of the family's 1533-position model. The record is from RNAcentral.
GACGAACGCUGGCGGCGUGCCUAAUACAUGCAAGUCGAACGCACUCUCGUUUAGAUUGAAGGAGUUUGCUCCUGAUUGAUAAACAUUUGAGUGAGUGGCGGACGGGUGAGUAACACGUGGGUAACCUGCCCUAAAGUGGGGGAUAACAUUUGGAAACAGAUGCUAAUACCGCAUAAAACCUAACACCGCAUGGUGUAGGGUUGAAAGAUGGUUUCGGCUAUCACUUUAGGAUGGACCCGCGGUGCAUUAGUUAGUUGGUGAGGUAAAGGCUCACCAAGACCGUGAUGCAUAGCCGACCUGAGAGGGUAAUCGGCCACACUGGGACUGAGACACGGCCCAG